CGAUGGCAGAUGAUCGCUGGCGGGCCGCAAGGCCGGCCAGAGGAAAGUCCGAACACCAGACGGCAGCAUGCCGCGCAAAAGGCGCGGGGGCGGCUCACGAAAGGGAGCCGCGACGGAAAGUGUCACAGAAAAGAUACGGCCUAACGAGCGCGCAAGCGUUCGUGGCAAAGGUGAAAAGGCGAGGUAAGAGCUCACCGCUCACGCCGCAAGGCGCGAGGCAGGAAAAACCCCAUGCGGUGCAAGACAAAACAGAGGAAGGGCAGCCGGUCCGUUAACCCCUCGGGUAUCGUCGCAUUACGUCCCGCAAUUGCGGGACGGGCGUCCGGCGCAAGCUGGGCGAGAUAAAUGAUCAUCGUCCCGCCUCGAAGGCGGGAUACAGAAUUCGGCUUAUCGCCAUCGAAAU
RNAcentral lists this RNase P RNA (403 nucleotides) under Verrucomicrobiota bacterium. Its description in RNAcentral is "RNase P RNA component class A". It matches the Rfam family "Bacterial RNase P class A". Rfam says of the family: Ribonuclease P (RNase P) is a ubiquitous endoribonuclease, found in archaea, bacteria and eukarya as well as chloroplasts and mitochondria. Its best characterised activity is the generation of mature 5'-ends of tRNAs by cleaving the 5'-leader elements of precursor-tRNAs. The record is from RNAcentral. Lineage: Bacteria; Pseudomonadati; Verrucomicrobiota.